GCGGCGGGGGCGCCGCCGGGGCCCGUGGGCGGCGGAGGCGGCCAGCCCGGAGGCGGCCGCGGCCCUGGGAAGGGACGGGGAGGUGGCGCCAGGCGACCGUUACGGCGGCGCGUGCGGAGCCGAGGAGAAGCAGUAAUACAUCACUCUAAGAAUCGCUGCCUUUGGACACUACUCUGAAGGAGGAUCCUUCCAGUAAUAUUGUUCCAAAAUGACUGGAAUCCUGUGUCCAAGAGUGAGGACAGAUGAGAGCAGCAUACAAUGGAGCCUCUCUGCAUUGUUAUGAUGCCCAGGACUGUAGCACUGGUGAUGGUAUACAAUGGCUAUGCUAUCACACACCAUGGAGCAAGUGACUUAGAAGGGAGGAGAAGGCUUAUCCUUCCAGGAAGUCCACCUCUGAUAUGA
This 402-nucleotide long non-coding RNA is filed under the name Apteryx owenii (little spotted kiwi). RNAcentral describes it as "lncRNA (ENSAOWG00000009625.1)". The record is from RNAcentral. Lineage: Eukaryota; Metazoa; Chordata; Aves; Apterygiformes; Apterygidae.